UUAAAAAGUUGUCUAAGGUCAAAAUAUUUUGGCGGUAAAAUUUUCAAAGGACUUUAGCCGACAAAAAUAUAUGAAAAGUCGUCGGCUAAAGUCAAUAAAAAUUUGGCGGCAAACCAAAUUUGGGGGAAAAUUUUCAAAAGACUUAAACCGACGAAAAUAUAUGAUUUUGUCCGCUAUUGUCAAAAAAAUUUUGGUGGUCAACCAAAAUUUUCAAAAUUUUUAAAAGAGUUUAGCUGACGAAAAUAAAAAAUUUCGUCAGGUAAAGUUCUUUAUAUAGGAGUUUUACCGGAGGUGGAUGGUAAGAAGUCAGAAAAUUAGAAAAAGUUCAGGAUUUUCUUCUCAGCCUAGCUCCGCCGUCAAGCCCCCGGAGACCGCCACACUUGUCCCAAAAGCUUCGCUGUCGUCUCUACUUCAUUGCUGGACAGGUGGUGCAUCGAGUGGCGCCGUUGUGAGGGAUAAAUCGAGCUCUAAAACUCCGCCGGUUCGGAUUCGGUGUCGAUCGAAUUUCUCCUUCCUCAGGUCACCAUUUGGUGAGUUCUAUAUAUGGAUAAGUUGAGUUUGAUUAGUACUACAUUCCCCUCGAAUUUGGUAGCUCGAUUCGGUGUGUGUGAGGAGAAUCGAAUAUUUGAAGUUUUAGGGUUUAAAAUUGGGGAUUUUUAUAUUUUGAUUCAGUUGACCUGUUUAGGCUUAGAAUUAGGCUUCGACUUGUUCUAGAUUGUUGUUCGAAAUGUUGAGAGGAAGAUUCUGUCAAAUUUUGGUAGUGAUUGGAGGUGGCCGAAAGUUUCUGCAGUUUUUUUUCUUUCAAAAACCAGCAACUUUAGCCGACGAUAUUUAAAUACUUUAGCCGAAGAUAUUCGUCGGUUAUAGUAUUUUUAUUUAUUUUUUAUAAGGUUUAGCCGACAAAUUAUGGCAUGUUUCGUCAGCUAAACACUUCUAAAGCCGACGAAAUAGACUAUAUUUCAUCGGUUAUAGUUAUUUUUUUAAUUUUUAUUACAUACUUUAGCUGACGAAUAUCGUCGGCUAAAGUCUCAGACUAUAUAUGGUCGACGAUGUCUUCUGUCGUUGGUUAAAUACUGGGACAAUAGCCGACGACGUUUUCUAGUUUCGUCGGCUAAAGUCAUCGCCGACGCCUCUUUCCCGACAAAACUAUAACCGACGAAGGCUCGUCGGGUAAGAUCUUAGCCGACGAAUUAAGCUAAAGUGCUUGUCCUGGUAGAGAGAGAGAGAGAGAGAGAGAGAGAGAGAGAGAGAGAGAGAGAGAGAGAGAGAGAGAGAGAGAGAGAGAGAGAGAGAGAGAGAGAGAGAGAGAGAGAGAGAGUUAGAG
Molecule: long non-coding RNA, 1324 nt
Filed under: Fragaria vesca (wild strawberry)
Lineage: Eukaryota; Viridiplantae; Streptophyta; Magnoliopsida; Rosales; Rosaceae
Description: long non-coding RNA (FVES_LNC005143)
Source: RNAcentral